UAAAGAGAUGUCAGGUAAAGAGAUGUCAGAUAAAGAGAUGUCAGGUAAAGAGAUGUCAGAAAUGUCCACUUGAUCCGAAAGCGGGUGUGGGGGAAAUAACUUUUACCAACCUUUACCCAACAGACAGAGUUCAAAGAAUAAGUUGUGCAGCAAAGUCUUAACUUGAUCAGAGAAUGAGACAUUGGAGAGAAAAAAACAUGUUCCUACUUGUUACCAGACAGACAGACAAUAUACAUCAACUGUUGAAUUUCUAGGAAAAUUGUUAGAACCGUUUUUGAGAUCCGCUGUCCAGGUUCCUGGAACCAGGUUGCAUGAGGUUCUUACUUGAAUAGAGGUAUUGGAAUAAAAACAAUUGAGAUGCAGGAAUACACUGCAGUCAAAUGAUAACAACAAAAUAUAGUUUGCAAUAAUUAAAUACUUGAAAUGUACAUAGAUGUUGAAACUGCUUCGACUUCCUUUGGCUUGACUCUGAUAUCAGGCAUGUAGUAGAAGAGAAUCACAAGAUUCGCUACCAUCCCAGUGGUUAUAUAAAUCAGUGCUUUCAUUUCUGGUAGGAGGAAAAUAUGAAACAUUUAGUCAAACACAUGAAGGAAACAUUGUACAUUUCCUUUUGUCACAUCAGUAUGUGUAGAGAUUUCAACAGAAUCCAAAUGUUUACAAAAUACACCAUACAAUAAAUAAAAUGCAGUACAAAUUUAGAUCCAAGAUUUUUAGAUUUGGCAUAGUCGAGCAGAGUGGUAAUGCUGAGGUCCUGGGUUCGAAUCCAGUGAAGACUGGGAUAUUGAAUUUAGAAAUUAAUUUUUAGGGCGCUCGACCAACUUUAAAUGAAAACCUGACUUUAUUUUAGGAAAGUAAAGGUGGUUGGCCGUUGUGCUGGCCACAUAACACACUGCUCGUUUACCGUUGGCCAAAGAAACGAAUGACCUUAACAUCACCUGCCCUAGAAAUCCCCAGGGGAAAAGAGAAGUCUACGAAGUUGACCUGCAAAAUUCAACUAUAAUGGUUUACGAAUUUAUAAGUAUUUAAGAUUUGGGGGCAUCUUUCACUUUAGUUUGAACUGUUGAAAACUAGACUAACUAAGUUACCAUCUGCACCUUAACUAGAGUAACUCUUUUUUGAUUUGAUUUCAUCUUAACUAGGCUGACUUUUCCUCUAUUUGUCUUUAGAAAUAAUUUUAAUAACUUUGAAUUCUUCUUUGCAUAUGAAAACUAGACAGUCUAGACUCUUUCUAAAAAUGAAUACUGUCUUUAAACUUAGAAAUUAGCUUAAACUAUUCUAGGAUAUAAGCUGUAUAAAUUAAGAACGCUAAAAGACUAGGUCUAUUUGUUGAUAACAGAUGUUAGUCACUUUUUCUCACUCUUUCUGAUACUUACAUGAUUGUAUUCCAGAAUCUCAGCUCGGCAAUGUAAUUAAAUUAUGUACAAUUUGUUUAAAUAUAAAGGCAAAUAAUUUGC
Long non-coding RNA from Biomphalaria glabrata, 1454 nucleotides. RefSeq lists it as uncharacterized. Lineage: Eukaryota; Metazoa; Mollusca; Gastropoda; Planorbidae. The transcript has 3 exons. The record is from RefSeq and is a predicted model, not a curated record.